UACGUAGGGCGCAAGCGUGGUCCGGAAUUAUUGGGCGUAAAGAGCUCGUAGGUGGUUUGUUACGUCUGCUGUGAAAACCUAGGGCUUAACCCUGGGCCUGCAGUGGAUACGGGCAGACUAGAGGUAGGUAGGGGAGAAUGGAAUUCCCGGUGUAGCGGUGAAAUGCGCAGAUAUCGGGAGGAACACCGGUGGCGAAGGCGGCCUACUGGGCCAGCACUGACGCUGAGGAGCGAAAGCGUGGGGAGCGAACAGG
Molecule: ribosomal RNA, 253 nt
Filed under: uncultured bacterium
Lineage: Bacteria
Description: partial 16S ribosomal RNA
Rfam family: Bacterial small subunit ribosomal RNA
Source: RNAcentral